Molecule: ribosomal RNA, 253 nt
Filed under: uncultured bacterium
Lineage: Bacteria
Description: partial 16S ribosomal RNA
Rfam family: Bacterial small subunit ribosomal RNA
Source: RNAcentral
UACGUAGGAUGCAAGCGUUGUCCGGAUUUACUGGGCGUAAAGCGCGCGCAGGCGGCAGAGUAAGUAAGGUGUGAAAUCUCCCUGCUCAACGGGGAGGGUGCAUUUUAGACUACUCAGCUAGAGGUCGGUAGAGGGGGGUGGAAUUGCUGGUGUAGCGGUGAAAUGCGUAGAGAUCAGCAGGAACACCCGUGGCGAAGGCGGCCCCCUGGGCCGUACCUGACGCUGAGGCGCGAAGGCUAGGGGAGCGAACGGG